RNAcentral lists this ribosomal RNA (235 nucleotides) under Trisopterus esmarkii (Norway pout). RNAcentral's name for it is "partial 12S ribosomal RNA". The record is from RNAcentral. Lineage: Eukaryota; Metazoa; Chordata; Actinopteri; Gadiformes; Gadidae.
UUAUACGAGAGACCCAAAUUGAUAAAAACGGCGUAAAGCGUGGUUAAGAAGACAAAAAAAUACGGCCGAACAGAUUCAAAGCAGUUAUACGCAUUCGAAACAACGAAGAUCAAGCACGCAAGUUGCCCUAAAAAACUCUGACCCCACGAAAGCCAUAAAACAAACUGGGAUUAGAUACCCCACUAUGUAUGGUCGUUAACAUUGAUGGUUUUAUACCUAAAUCAUCCGCCUGGGA